UCGUAAGAAAAGGGGGUAAUGAAGUUAAGUACUAAGAUUUCCCACGCACUGUGAAUGCACCGCACCUGCACAGUUGCGCUGCUCACAGCUCCUCCCUGCUCAGACCAAACGCACUUUCUUCCAUGGCAUCUAUCUGCAUAGAGCAAGAGGCACCAGAUGUUGUAGGAGUUCAGUCCUGAAAUCCGUUGAGCUGAGGAGUUUUUUUUGUUGUUGUUGAAGAAUCCUGGUGAGUCUUGUGAAACAAGUGUUUUUUGCUAUGUAAAACCAGUCAGGUUAUGAGCUUUUGUUAGAAAUAUGACUACAAUUGCUGUUCAUGGUUUAUUAGGUGCAUUGGCAUGGUAAGAAGUAAGCUAACUCACCACAUGUGCUCUUCUAAAAAAAAACAUGUACUUUUGUGUGAGGUUUAAGCUAGCUGCACCAUGUGUGGUGCUGCUGUAGGUCAUAAUGUAACUUACCCUUUUGCAGGUCUCCUAGAUUACUUUGAAAGAUAAGAAUACUUAUUACAGGCCUUAAUAGCUGCAUAUACAGUAAAAGACAAGUUGGAACUGAUAAUUUUAUUUUAUUUUCUGUAUUUAUUUUGUUUUGUUUUCUGUACAAUGUGAUUAAAACAAUUUAAUUUAGGAUGAUUACAUGAUUGUUUUCCAGUUGAAGUAAUUGGUUUGCACAAUUGUGUGCAGGCUGGUUUUAUAUAUACAUAUAGUCCCUGCACCUGCUGCCACAACCUGAGGGGUUCCAUCCACGGACCGAACUAGGAACCACUGGAGAUGCUGCUGCAGGAUGCAUCCAUUGUGAAGGCCACCUGUUUCUCUGGAGGGUGGUAGGGAAGAAACAGAUUCCCAAUCUGCUCUGAGGAUUUCUAUUUUUGUUUUUUUGAGAUCUCAAAUCAUUUAUUUUUAUUUUUUUUUUGUUACUUUUGGGUCAGAUCUGAUACCACAAACCAAACUGAUGCAUCAGGAAUAUUAAAACUUGCAUUAAAUACCUACCAAAGAGUGGAAGACGGUGUACUCAGCUGAAAUGGACAGUAUUUUUUUUUAGUGCACUUGUGGACUCUGAUAGAGGAUGGUAUUGUUGAAUUGAAUGAAUGUGGAAGUGAACAAACUGUGUUGUGCCAAUGUUCUAGUUCAGCAUUUUGAAAUACAGGUUUUCAGUUAUUCAAUUCUAA
This is a long non-coding RNA of Cyprinodon tularosa, 1162 nucleotides long. RefSeq lists it as uncharacterized. NCBI's taxonomy places the organism in Eukaryota, Metazoa, Chordata, Actinopteri, Cyprinodontiformes, Cyprinodontidae. The record is from RefSeq and is a predicted model, not a curated record. The transcript has 2 exons.